UUCAAAAUAAAUCAUUAACAAUAUCUUUAGAUAUAUCUGAUAAGUUUUGUAGAGAGUAUUGUAACCAAGCUAUAAUUAUACAAUACUUCCAGUGCAUAUAAAAAGAUGAUGAAUUCCCUCUUCUAUUUUUAUUCUGAAGAAAAACUCAAUAUUUUCAUUCUUAAAAAACUCACUAUUUUCACUAACCAGGAAGGGCAAACAUGAACUAUGUCUUUGCUGCUUAGGUGUGCUAAUGUAGGGGAAAUGAAGGGCUUCAUUGAAGCAGGAUGC
Molecule: long non-coding RNA, 270 nt
Filed under: Elaeis guineensis (African oil palm)
Lineage: Eukaryota; Viridiplantae; Streptophyta; Magnoliopsida; Arecales; Arecaceae
Description: long non-coding RNA (EGUI_LNC073979)
Source: RNAcentral